GACCUUUGGCCGGCGAUGCUAUACAUGCAGUCGAACGAGUUCUGAUUAUUGAAAGGUGCUUGCAUCUUGAUUUAAUUUUGAACGAGUGGCGGACGGGUGAGUAACACGUGGGUAACCUGCCCUUAAGUGGGGGAUAACAUUUGGAAACAGAUGCUAAUACCGCAUAAAUCCAAGAACCGCAUGGUUCUUGGCUGAAAGAUGGCGUAAGCUAUCGCUUUUGGAUGGACCCGCGGCGUAUUAGCUAGUUGGUGAGGUAACGGCUCACCAAGGCAAUGAUACGUAGCCGAACUGAGAGGUUGAUCGGCCACAUUGGGACUGAGACACGGCCCAAACUCCUACGGGAGGCAGCAGUAGGGAAUCUUCCACAAUGGACGCAAGUCUGAUGGAGCAACGCCGCGUGAGUGAAGAAGGCUUUCGGGUCGUAAAACUCUGUUGUUGGAGAAGAAUGGUCGGCAGAGUAACUGUUGUCGGCGUGACGGUAUCCAACCAGAAAGCCACGGCUAACUACGUGCCAGCAGCCGCGGUAAUACGUAGGUGGCAAGCGUUAUCCGGAUUUAUUGGGCGUAAAGCGAGCGCAGGCGGUUUUUUAAGUCUGAUGUGAAAGCCCUCGGCUUAACCGAGGAAGUGCAUCGGAAACUGGGAAACUUGAGUGCAGAAGAGGACAGUGGAACUCCAUGUGUAGCGGUGAAAUGCGUAGAUAUAUGGAAGAACACCAGUGGCGAAGGCGGCUGUCUGGUCUGUAACUGACGCUGAGGCUCGAAAGCAUGGGUAGCGAACAGGAUUAGAUACCCUGGUAGUCCAUGCCGUAAACGAUGAAUGCUAGGUGUUGGAGGGUUUCCGCCCUUCAGUGCCGCAGCUAACGCAUUAAGCAUUCCGCCUGGGGAGUACGACCGCAAGGUUGAAACUCAAAGGAAUUGACGGGGGCCCGCACAAGCGGUGGAGCAUGUGGUUUAAUUCGAAGCAACGCGAGAACCUUACCAGUCUUGACAUCUUUUGAUCACCUGAGAGAUCAGUUUCCCCUUCGGGGCAAAUGACAGUGUGCAUGGUGUCGUCAGCUCGUGUCGUGAGAUGUUGGGUAGUCCCGCACGAGCGCACCCUAUGACUAGUGCCAGCAUUAGUGGCAACUCUAGUAGACUGCCGGUGACCACGAGAGGUGGGGAUAGACGUCAUCAUCAUGGCCUAUGACCUUGGCCUCACACACCCGUGUCUUCACAAUUGGAGAUGUGUGUUAU
Molecule: ribosomal RNA, 1232 nt
Filed under: Lacticaseibacillus rhamnosus
Lineage: Bacteria; Bacillati; Bacillota; Bacilli; Lactobacillales; Lactobacillaceae
Description: bacterial SSU rRNA
Rfam family: Bacterial small subunit ribosomal RNA
Source: RNAcentral